Molecule: ribosomal RNA, 444 nt
Filed under: uncultured bacterium
Lineage: Bacteria
Description: bacterial SSU rRNA
Rfam family: Bacterial small subunit ribosomal RNA
Source: RNAcentral
UUCCUACGGGAGGCAGCAGUGGGGAAUAUUGGACAAUGGGCGAAAGCCUGAUCCAGCAAUGCCGCGUGAGUGAUGAAGGCCUUAGGGUUGUAAAGCUCUUUUGUGCGGGAAGAUAAUGACGGUACCGCAAGAAUAAGCCCCGGCUAACUUCGUGCCAGCAGCCGCGGUAAUACGAAGGGGGCUAGCGUUGCUCGGAAUCACUGGGCGUAAAGGGUGCGUAGGCGGGUCUUUAAGUCAGGGGUGAAAUCCUGGAGCUCAACUCCAGAACUGCCUUUGAUACUGAAGAUCUUGAGUUCGGGAGAGGUGAGUGGAACUGCGAGUGUAGAGGUGAAAUUCGUAGAUAUUCGCAAGAACACCAGUGGCGAAGGCGGCUCACUGGCCCGAUACUGACGCUGAGGCACGAAAGCGUGGGGAGCAAACAGGAUUAGAUACCCCAGUAGUCAA